UUGACAUCCCGGGAAUUCUGGAAACAGGAGAGUGCUUUCAUUAGAGAGAACCUGGAGACAGGUGCUGCAUGGCUGUCGUCAGCUCGUGUCGUGAGAUGUUGGGUUAAGUCCCGCAACGAGCGCAACCCUUGCCUUUAGUUGCCAGCAGUUCGGCUGGGCACUCUAAAGGGACUGCCGGUGUCAAACCGGAGGAAGGUGGGAUGACGUCAAGUCCUCAUGGCCUUUAUGGCCAGGGCUACACACGUACUACAAUGGCCGGUACAAAGGGCAGCGACAUUGCGAGAUGGAGCGAAUCCCGAAAAGCCGGUCUCAGUUCGGAUUGCAGGCUGCAAUUCGCCUGCAUGAAGUCGGAAUCGCUAGUAAUCGCAGGUCAGCAUACUGCGGUGAAUACGUUCCCGGGCCUU
RNAcentral lists this ribosomal RNA (404 nucleotides) under uncultured Desulfobulbus sp. RNAcentral describes it as "bacterial SSU rRNA". It matches the Rfam family "Bacterial small subunit ribosomal RNA", at positions 981 to 1382 of the family's 1533-position model. Lineage: Bacteria; Pseudomonadati; Thermodesulfobacteriota; Desulfobulbia; Desulfobulbales; Desulfobulbaceae. The record is from RNAcentral.